Molecule: ribosomal RNA, 253 nt
Filed under: uncultured bacterium
Lineage: Bacteria
Description: partial 16S ribosomal RNA
Rfam family: Bacterial small subunit ribosomal RNA
Source: RNAcentral
UACGAAUGGGGCAAGCGUUGUUCGGAAUCACUGGGCUUAAAGCGUGCGUAGGCGGACUCACAAGUCAGGAGUGAAAGCCCCGGGCUCAACCUGGGAAUUGCAUUUGAGACUGCGUAGCUAGGGUGCGGAAGAGGGAAGCGGAAUUUCCGGUGUAGCGGUGAAAUGCGUAGAUAUCGGAAGGAACACCAGUGGCGAAAGCGGCUUCCUGGUCCAGCACCGACGUUCAGGCACGAAAGCGUGGGGAGCAAACAGG